GAUGAACGCUGGCGGCGUGCCUCAAACAUGCAAGUCGAGCGGGGCUAUGUUGGACCGUAAGGGAAGAUAUAGCCUAGCGGCGAACGGGUGAGUAACACGUGGGUAACCUACCUGGAAGACAGGGAUAACGAUUCGAAAGGGUCGCUAAUACCUGAUAAUAUCUAACAGUCGGAUGGCAGUUAGAAGAAAGGGGAAACCCGCUUUCAGAUGGGCCCGCGUCCCAUCAGCUAGUUGGUAAGGUAAAGGCUUACCAAGGCGACGACGGGUAGCCGGUCUGAGAGGAUGUACGGCCACACUGGGACUGAGAUACGGCCCAGACUCCUACGGGAGGCAGCAGUUGGGAAUCUUAGGCAAUGGGCGAAAGCCUGACCUAGCGACGCCGCGUGAGGGAAGAAGGCCUUCGGGUCGUAAACCUCUGUCAUGGGGGACGAAGGAAGUGACGGUACCCCAAGAGGAGCCCCUGCUAACUACGUGCCAGCAGGCCCGCGGUAAGUCACGUGUA
Molecule: ribosomal RNA, 502 nt
Filed under: uncultured bacterium
Lineage: Bacteria
Description: bacterial SSU rRNA
Rfam family: Bacterial small subunit ribosomal RNA
Source: RNAcentral